GGGUGGAAAGGUCGCAAGGAUUUUCUAGCGUUUCGACAGAAAGUUGUGAAGAUACAGGCUCAUGUGAGGGGUUAUCAAGUUAGGAAGCACUACAAGGUUUUCUGUUGGGCUGUUGGAAUUCUAGAGAAGGCUGUGCUGCGUUGGAGACGUAAAGGGGUUGGUUUGCGAGGUUUCCGGAAUGAGGCAGAGCCUAUUGAUGAAAGUGAAGAUGAAGAUAUUCU
This 221-nucleotide unclassified non-coding RNA is filed under the name Hevea brasiliensis (rubber tree). The record is from RNAcentral. Lineage: Eukaryota; Viridiplantae; Streptophyta; Magnoliopsida; Malpighiales; Euphorbiaceae.